This 96-nucleotide Y RNA is filed under the name Prolemur simus (greater bamboo lemur). RNAcentral's name for it is "Y RNA (ENSPSMG00000006955.1)". It matches the Rfam family "Y RNA". From Rfam's summary of the family: Y RNAs are components of the Ro ribonucleoprotein particle (Ro RNP), in association with Ro60 and La proteins. The Y RNAs and Ro60 and La proteins are well conserved, but the function of the Ro RNP is not known. The record is from RNAcentral. Lineage: Eukaryota; Metazoa; Chordata; Mammalia; Primates; Lemuridae.
GGCUGGUCUGAUGGGAGUGGGUUAUCAGAACUUAUUAACAUCAGUGUCACUAAAGUUGGUAUACAACCCCCGACUGCUAAAUCUGACUGGUUAAAA